UACAGAGGGGGCAAGCGUUGUUCGGAAUUACUGGGCGUAAAGGGCGCGUAGGCGGCCUGUUAAGUCGAACGUGAAAUCCCUGGGCUCAACCCAGGAACUGCGUCCGAUACUGGCAGGCUUGAAUUCGGGAGAGGGGUGCGGAAUUCCAGGUGUAGCGGUGAAAUGCGUAGAUAUCGGGAGGAACACCUGUGGCGAAGGCGGAUCUCUGGGCCGAUACUGACGCUGAGGAGCGAAAGCGUGGGGAGCGAACAGG
This 253-nucleotide ribosomal RNA is filed under the name uncultured bacterium. Its description in RNAcentral is "partial 16S ribosomal RNA". It matches the Rfam family "Bacterial small subunit ribosomal RNA", at positions 524 to 776 of the family's 1533-position model. The record is from RNAcentral.